This 1404-nucleotide ribosomal RNA is filed under the name Triticum aestivum (bread wheat). RNAcentral's name for it is "partial small subunit ribosomal RNA". The record is from RNAcentral. Lineage: Eukaryota; Viridiplantae; Streptophyta; Magnoliopsida; Poales; Poaceae.
AUGCUCCAGAUACGCCUGAGCAAGAUCGGCUCGUCGGACUCCGGGGCCGCGGCCUCUGGCGCGGCGGCUGGGGCGUCCGGUGGCGCCCCGGCGAAGUCCGCCGCCGCGGCGGCUGGCGGCGCCCCGGAAUCGGUGACUGUCGCUUGCCCCGACCACCUGGUCAUCGCAGACCUCGCUGUGGCGAAGAGCCUCGGCGCCGUCACAAACUCCGCCAUCGCUGCGACGCGCGCCAUCGGCCGCCGCUCCCGCCGCCCCCUCGGCGAGCGCGUCCACAUCUGCUCCCGCUGCGAGUUCCCCAUCGCCAUUUACGGCCGCCUCAUUCCUUGCGAACAUGCUUUCUGUUUAGCCUGUGCAAGAAGUGAUUCCAGCUGCUAUCUUUGUGAUGAGCGCAUUCAGAAGAUUCAGACUGUGAAAAUGAUGGAAGGGAUUUUUAUCUGCGCUGCACCUAUGUGCCUCAAGUCUUUCCUUAAGAAAGCUGAAUUUAUGUCUCAUGUACCUGAAGCUCAUGCAAAUCUCCUCCAAACUAACACGGAGAAGGAAGAACGUAAUGAACCAGAUGCUCCUAACAUCUCCCGUGCUUCUGGAGGAGAUGCUCAAAGGCAAUCUCAAAUGCCUGAGAUAUCUACCGCACGUGCUCCUCCAAGGCGGGGUGUUUCACCCACUUCAAGUUCUCACAUGCAAGAGCGUGAAGACCGAUCUCGGUAUCACCAGUCCAGGGAGAGGGAGCACACCCCACUAAGGCCCCCUAUGCUAAGCAAACCGCCAUCAUUCCAUGGUCGCCACUAUCCACCAGGUGAUACUCAGUCCGAAAACAACACACCUCAAGGAUUUGACCGUCCCUACAGCUGGGCCCAUGAUGGUACACCUGGUGCAACUCCACUUCGCCAAGAACCUGACCAUGGUACUCAAGACAAGCAGCAAGUGAUGCCUAAUUCACCUUUCAUGUUCUCUCCAAUGCAUCCUCAUCAGCAAAACUUCAUGAUGCAUAUGAAUAUGAAUCAGCCUUUAAUCCCCAACUCAUCAUUCAGCUACCCUGUCCAACAAGAUGGGAAUCCGCAGUACUUCAGUGCUCCUUUCCAGAUGCAACUGCAAGAUGCCGGAUCAGAUCAAGGUUCAGCGUCGGUGCCUGAGGGGCUUCAGCGCCCAUGGGGCAUGGGGUUGAUGGGCAAUCCAUCUCAGGGAGGUGGCGGCAUGGCCUUCAUGCCAGCUGGUUUCGGGAUGAUGCCAGACAGCUCGAUGAAUCCAGGCAUGCAAGGUAGGGAUUUUCAAGGCCAAGCUGAUCGUGGCGACGGAAGGGGCAUCCAAGAACAGUUACCUAUGGUGAUGCAAAUGCAGAUGUCGCUCCCCCCACCCCCCCCUACACAACCCCCGUCUGCUGGACAGCAGUCUUUCAACAGAACUUGA